GAUGAACGCUGGCGGCGUGCCUAAUACAUGCAAGUCGAGCGAACAGACGAGGAGCUUGCUCCUCUGACGUUAGCGGCGGACGGGUGAGUAACACGUGGAUAACCUACCUAUAAGACUGGGAUAACUUCGGGAAACCGGAGCUAAUACCGGAUAAUAUAUUGAACCGCAUGGUUCAAUAGUGAAAGACGGUUUUGCUGUCACUUAUAGAUGGAUCCGCGCCGCAUUAGCUAGUUGGUAAGGUAACGGCUUACCAAGGCAACGAUGCGUAGCCGACCUGAGAGGGUGGUCGGCCACACUGGAACUGAGCCACGGUCCAGACUCCUACGGGAGGCAGCAGUAGGGAAUCUUCCGCAAUGGGCGAAAGCCUGACGGAGCAACGCCGCGUGAGUGAUGAAGGUCUUCGGAUCGUAAAACUCUGUUAUUAGGGAAGAACAAAUGUGUAAGUAACUAUGCACGUCUUGACGGUACCUAAUCAGAAAGCAACGGCUAACUACGUG
This 497-nucleotide ribosomal RNA is filed under the name uncultured bacterium. RNAcentral describes it as "partial 16S ribosomal RNA". It matches the Rfam family "Bacterial small subunit ribosomal RNA", at positions 28 to 507 of the family's 1533-position model. The record is from RNAcentral.